RNAcentral lists this long non-coding RNA (336 nucleotides) under Vulpes vulpes (red fox). RNAcentral's name for it is "lncRNA (ENSVVUG00000016844.1)". The record is from RNAcentral. Lineage: Eukaryota; Metazoa; Chordata; Mammalia; Carnivora; Canidae.
AUGAUAAUAUCCCUUAUGAUUGAGGACAUCUUGCAAUUUGCUUGGAAUCCCCUUGGGAACGUGAUUAGAUUUCUCUCAUGGCCAUUGGGUCUUUUCCUUGUACUACCCUCCAUUAUGUGUCCUAGACACUUCUCACCUAUUGGAACUCUCUUUGGGAAGAAGGCUGAGGAUAAAGCAUGGAACAGAACAGUGGGUCUGUAAAGGGACUGGAUGUGAACUGUGAUAGCUCACUGCAACAUAAUUUUCAUCUCAGAAAAAGAAGGAAAGACAAAAUGUGUUUCUCAAACUAUUCUCUUUAAAGCAGAAGCCAUAAAUUAUAAAAGGAAACAUUGCAAU